UUUGUGGUCACUCACCGUUGGAUGUAAAUUCAACGGUUCACUCACUCUUGCACUCAUUUUAAAAAAAACUUUUUGAACCAUUGGAUUAAUAUCCAACGGUGGGUGACCACAAUCUCUUGGACUCCUGUAGUCCAAGAGAUCGGGACUAAUAUAGAAUGGUGUUGUUGACCAUACAUAAAAUACAUGUUCCUCAAGACCAAAUCUGGACUGUCGAUAUGUAUUAGAUCAAUCUCAAGGGCAGAUACAAAGAACCAAGGGGCCCCUUAUAUUUAUUUAUAUAUUGAUAAGAGAGUCUGACUCGUUAUCUUUGAUCUGGAGGAAGGAAAGAGGCCGAUGACGUGGCAGAAGUUGUC
Molecule: long non-coding RNA, 353 nt
Filed under: Prunus persica (peach)
Lineage: Eukaryota; Viridiplantae; Streptophyta; Magnoliopsida; Rosales; Rosaceae
Description: long non-coding RNA (PPER_LNC003521)
Source: RNAcentral